UUGGGAUGGCACGAAUGCUAGUUCGAGCGCCUCAGCCAAACGAGGCGCGGCAUACAGCUCAGUAACACGUGGCUAAUCUGCCCUUGGGACAAAAACAACCCCGGGAAACCGGGGCUAAUUUUUUUGACAGAUGAAGAACUCUGGAAUCGAGUCUUCGUUUAAAAGACUUCACGUUAUGCUCGUGAUGUUGCCCAAGGAUGAGGCCGCGACCGAUCAGGUUUGUUGGUGAGGUAAUGGCUCACCAAGCCUUUUACCGGUGCGGGCCGUGAGAGCGGGAGCCCGGAGAUGGGCACUGAGACAAGGGCCCAGGCCCUACGGGGCGCAGCAGUCGCGAAAACUUUGCAAUACACGAAAGUGUGACAGGGCUAUCCCGAGUGCCUUCCGCUGAGGAGGGCUUUUACCUAGUAUAGAUCGCUAGGGGAAUAAGGAGAGGGCAAGUCUGGUGUCAGCCGCCGCGGUAAUACCAGCUCUCCGAGUGGUGUGGAUGUUUAUUGGGCCUAAAGCAUCCGUAGCUGGCUAAGUUAGUCCCUUGUUAAAACCACCGAAUUAAUCGGUGGAUUGCGGGGGAUACUGCUUGGCUAGGGGACGAGAGAGGCAGACGGUAUUUUCGGGGUAGGGGUGAAAUCCUAUAAUCCCGGGAAGACCACCAGUGGCGAAGGCUGUCUGCUAGAACGCGCCCGACGGUGAGGGAUGAAAGCUGGGGGAGCGAACCGGAUUAGAUACCCGGGUAGUCCCAGCCGUAAACGAUGCAGGCUAGGUGUUUGGACGGCCACGUGCCGUUCUAGUGCCGCAGGGAAACUGUUAAGCCUGCCCCCUGGGGAGUACGAUCGCAAGAUUGAAACUCAAAGGAAUUGACGGAAU
This 861-nucleotide ribosomal RNA is filed under the name uncultured archaeon. RNAcentral's name for it is "bacterial SSU rRNA". It matches the Rfam family "Archaeal small subunit ribosomal RNA", at positions 33 to 874 of the family's 1478-position model. The record is from RNAcentral.